CUGCCCGCGCCACCCUGCUGUGGUCCCGGGGCUGCCUGGCACAGGGCCCUGGUUUGCCGGCCCACUGGGAGUCGUUUUCAAUCUCCGAGCAGAUGAGGCGCCCAAACGCGGCUUUGGGUUCAGGGGGCUGCUAACCCGGCGUCGGUGGGCAUGAAGGAGAGAGACACUUGAGGUGUGGGCUGCACACCACCCUCAGCCUUCUGCUUGCUGACCUGCCCCUCUGCAGCGCUGCUCCUGCUGAAUGUGCUUGCUGAUGCGAUCGUCUCCUCCGAGCAUGUCAGCUUCCAGGUGCAGGGAUCCCACGUCCUCAGGGCCCGUCGGGACUCACUGAACACUCCUGGAAGAAGGAAUGAACGUGACCCCAAGCCCCUGCUUCAGAGGGUUUCUCAGAGCCCCGUGUUGGGGUUGGGGGGUAUUCUGUGCUCCCCUAGGAAGUGGGCACUACUAAGGAGCCUCCAGGCAUCCUGAGCCAAAGGGCAUCAUGGAGGUUCGCAGGACCCUCUGAAAGAGACUUUCUGUGCCAAGCAGCAUCCCCAGGAAGAUUCAGAAAGUAUACAUAACGCAAGCUCUUGUCAUCCAAACCCGAGUUCCUGCCAUCAUUUUGCCCGACUGGCUUUGCCUUUCUUCUCACUGUGGGGACGCGGC
This 645-nucleotide long non-coding RNA is filed under the name Equus asinus (donkey). Its description in RNAcentral is "lncRNA (ENSEASG00005035056.1)". Lineage: Eukaryota; Metazoa; Chordata; Mammalia; Perissodactyla; Equidae. The record is from RNAcentral.